This 763-nucleotide ribosomal RNA is filed under the name Micrococcaceae bacterium. Its description in RNAcentral is "bacterial SSU rRNA". It matches the Rfam family "Bacterial small subunit ribosomal RNA", at positions 48 to 822 of the family's 1533-position model. The record is from RNAcentral. Lineage: Bacteria; Bacillati; Actinomycetota; Actinomycetes; Micrococcales; Micrococcaceae.
UUAACACAUGCAAGUCGAACGAUGAUCCGGUGCUUGCACCGGGGAUUAGUGGCGAACGGGUGAGUAACACGUGAGUAACCUGCCCUUAACUCUGGGAUAAGCCUGGGAAACUGGGUCUAAUACCGGAUAUGACUCCUCAUCGCAUGGUGGGGGGUGGAAAGCUUUUUUGUGGUUUUGGAUGGACUCGCGGCCUAUCAGCUUGUUGGUGAGGUAAUGGCUCACCAAGGCGACGACGGGUAGCCGGCCUGAGAGGGUGACCGGCCACACUGGGACUGAGACACGGCCCAGACUCCUACGGGAGGCAGCAGUGGGGAAUAUUGCACAAUGGGCGGAAGCCUGAUGCAGCGACGCCGCGUGAGGGAUGACGGCCUUCGGGUUGUAAACCUCUUUCAGUAGGGAAGAAGCGAAAGUGACGGUACCUGCAGAAGAAGCGCCGGCUAACUACGUGCCAGCAGCCGCGGUAAUACGUAGGGCGCAAGCGUUAUCCGGAAUUAUUGGGCGUAAAGAGCUCGUAGGCGGUUUGUCGCGUCUGCCGUGAAAGUCCGGGGCUCAACUCCGGAUCUGCGGUGGGUACGGGCAGACUAGAGUGAUGUAGGGGAGACUGGAAUUCCUGGUGUAGCGGUGAAAUGCGCAGAUAUCAGGAGGAACACCGAUGGCGAAGGCAGGUCUCUGGGCAUUAACUGACGCUGAGGAGCGAAAGCAUGGGGAGCGAACAGGAUUAGAUACCCUGGUAGUCCAUGCCGUAAACGUUGGGCACUAGGUG